Non-coding RNA from Callithrix jacchus (white-tufted-ear marmoset), 7453 nucleotides. NCBI's taxonomy places the organism in Eukaryota, Metazoa, Chordata, Mammalia, Primates, Cebidae. The record is from RefSeq and is a predicted model, not a curated record.
GCCUGGCCGCUCGGUAAACACGUAGUAGAUCACGCGCUGGCCCACCAUGAAAUGUUGCUCAGCAGUCUCCAGGAAACGCUCCAGGUACUUCUCCAGGUACCUGAGGACGUGGCGCCACAGUCAGCUUGAGAAUGAGGGGAAGUGUCUUUGGUUCCUGGGAAUGGCUGGGGAUCAAAGUAUGGUGUUUGCCACCCAGGAAAAACGCUGUUCUGCACAGAGCCUCAGCCAGAUCUGAAGGGCACUGGGCACCUGUGACCUUGGACAGUUCACCUUGUGGAGUCCUUUACUUCCUUAGUGUCAGGCCUCCAAGUCCAAGCCUGGCCAUUAUAGCCUUGGUGACCCACACGUACACCUCUGGAUGGUCACCAGAAGCCAGGAAGUUUGAAGUAACCACAAGUAACCAGUUGGCCACAGAAGGAAGUAAAGCAACUUGUUCUUGGCCUCAACGAAUUGCUGCAACCUGCAACCAUUGUUCCUGUUCAGCCUUGCAACAAUCAUCCCCCCACUGGACACUGGGUUUUUCAAGACCUCCACCCCUGUAACAAUGUAAUUUACUGCACCCUCCCCUCUGAUUACAGCCAAUACUCCCCACCCUGAUGAUCAUGCCUGUUUGUAAUAAAUGACCGCAACCUUGUGAUCAUGCAUCCUGUGACGCCCUCCCCCUCCCCAAGACAGAUUAGCGACCCCUACCCUUAUAAUCAUGCAUCCCAUGACGCCCUUCCCCUCCCUAAGAUAGAUUACCACCUUUAGCUGACCAUUUGCCCCAACCCAUAUAACCAGUCCCCUGUCCUACCCUCACUACCUAAUUUCUUUCUUGGACUUGGCCCGCUUGCGCCUACACGUGAAAUAAACAGCUUUGUUGCCCACACAGAGCCUGCCUGGUGGUCUCUUCACAUGAGUGACACACUUGACAGUAGAAUGGUGUACGUACACCAGUCACCCAGGAGAGAGAACCGCAUAAGAUCACAGAUGUCAAAUCGUUGUGGUUUACUCUGGGCAGUGCUUUUCAAAGUUUGAGUUGUGACCUAUCUGAGGGCUGUGUAAUGAGUUUAGUGGGUCAUGACCAAGAUUUAAAAAAUAUGAACAGGAAUACAAUGGAGAAGAAAAUAUUCUGUAUUGUACAUAAGUGUAGGUUUUGUUUCAUGAAAAGUUUGUUUCAGUUGAUAGAUAUUUAAAUGUGUAUACAAGGUUGGGAAAUAUUUCUUUGUGGAUCAUGAUGGAAAUAGGUUUGUGAAAUUCAGUGUAAAGUGUAAACAACAGGAAUAGCAAAUGCCUAUUGCAGGUGCACCCUGCAAACUUGCAGUAGGUUGGAGCUUUUCAUCUAAAGCAGAUAGAUACUAAUUGGUGUGAAUCAGAUUCGCCACAUCUUUUAGGAGUAGGUUUGGUUUCCUCCUUCUUUGCUGCACACAUAACAAACUCAGGUGGAUCCUGGUUUUCAUUUUCUUCCAUAAAAGGAAAAUUAAGGUCCAGAAAGCGAAAAUAACUGCCCAGAGUCCUAUAGGCCAGUGGUGUACCUGCGCACGUGGCCUGCACUCCAGCAGCAGGAGAGGAGGCAGCACAUGGGAUAUUCUUACCUGGGGGCUCCCUAGGGCCCACUCCCCAACCUCAGCACCCUCCUCAGCACCCUGUCAGCUCAGGGUCCUGCUAGCCAUUCCCUGCCUCCUGGGGUACCAGGCUUUCCAGCCCCUAGUUCUACCCUUGGGGGAUAACUAAUCAGUCUGUUUCUCUUCCAAGAAAGUUACAUUUUAACAGGCUUUCCAAAGAGGAGUUAUCAAGAUGUGAGUGUUGAUUCGUGGAAGUUCCUGCAUGUAAUCAUCCUUUAAGAGAUUAUGAUUCAGUAGGCUGUGGCCUGACCCUCAAACCCUCCCCUUUUUAAAGACAGAGUUUUGCUCUGUCACCUGGGUUGGGGGUGCAGUGGUGCAGUCAUAGCUCACUGCAGCUUUGAACUCCUGGCCUCAAUCCUCCAGCCUCAACCUCCAGAGUAGCGGGGAAUUACAGGCACGCACCACCUUGCCUGUUUUGUUUUGAAGAUAUGGGGUCUCCCUGUGUUGCCCAGGUUGGUCUCAAACUCCUGGCCUCAAGCAAUCCUCCCACCUUGGCCUCCCCAAAGUGCUGGGUUUACAGAUGUGAGUGGCCAUAACCUACAUUUUUAACAGGUGGAAAUGCUGCUUUAAGUAAAGACUUGAUUAAGUGGGAAGAGCAGUGAGGCCAAGCUGCCCCUUUCUUCCCUUCCCCUGCUCAGAUGUGGGGUAGAUUUCAUUCCAUGCAAGAGGGCACAUGGUUAUUCUGUACUUCACCCCCAGCCUCAUUUCUAGCACAGUGCCUGGUUCAGAGGCAUGUGGUCAGCACAGGCCACUGUUAGCAGCACAUGUCUAGUUCCUCUCACUACUUGAUGUUCAUGGUGCUCGUCAGGUCGUCCUCCCUCCUUCAGCAGCAGCAGGGCCAGCUCACCUGUCCCUCAUUCGCACUUCCAUGUUCAUGCUUGUGCCUUUGCACUUACUACCUUGGUCUGGAAUGCCCUUUCUCCUUUAUUCAAGGCUUAGAUGCCUCAUCUCUGUCCUAAUCAUUUUCUAUUUAAGCAUGCAAAAGUGCUUAGUGAACCAAAGCCCUCCCAAGGCUCUUCUGGACACCAGGCAGCUCUAUCCAGAGGUGUGUGCUGGAAGAUCGGAGAGUCUGGGUUCUGCCCCAGGUGUUUAGAGGCUGCUAGCCCAGCAGUCAUCUCCCAAGUGGGAACGGCAGGUAAGGUGGCACAGAACAGAAAGGGCUUCUGGACCCUCUCACUCCAAGGGACACUGUGUGAAGUAAAGAACUGGUAUCUACUCUUCCAUGUGAACUGAAGCUGAGGGCACCCUCAAAUGACCCAGACCCAGCAAAGUGUGGAGGAUAUGUUGUCCACUUAAGGUCCCUUCCCCAGCCCAGGGACCCACCCAUCUCCAUAUGGGUGAAAGUAGCCAUUUGGGCUCAGAGAUAGGGAUUCCUAGGGGAGAAAGGCACCCAAGAGACGGAUUUUACAGAUUUAUUUUUUAAAAAUGAAAACAAAGGUUAAAAAAGUCCUUCAUGUCCAACCCUGCCUGGGGGAGUGGGUGGGGAAUAGAGUAAGUUCAGAAAGGUGCCUACCCCCUUCCUGCAAAGGACACGGCAGGUCAGAGGCAGACCCUCGCCCUUCCUGCCCUGUCUCCUCCUCAGGUAGCUCAAACACAGGCAAAGAAGUGUGGGAGUGGAAGGCCAAGAGCUGCCUUCUUCACAUCAACAGAAACUCCAGCUGUUCUCUCCCCUCAGUUCUCCAGGCCCCACCACUGGGACUCCAAGGGUGGAUGGGCAGGCAGGCCAGGAGGCUCAGCCCUUUGGGCUAUGUGGCCCAGCCCACCACAGCUUUCUUAAUGCUCUUUGUGAACCAGGAGGGCAGUCAGGGGAACUUCACAGUGCGGGGAGGGGUGUCUGGAAAGGAAACUCGGAAGCGCCGUCUCUUUCUGACCUUGCCUCUGCACUGAGGCUGCCGUUCUUGGCUAUUCCCCAUCCUGAGGCUGAGUGGAGUCCAGGACAAAGCACUAAGUGGCUGUUUGCUACAAAACACCUGGAGAUGCCAGAGAGUAGCCCUUGGCCUAUCUGUCAGUCCAGGCUCCCACACAGUCACACAGUCAUACACACAGCGUUAAGGCGUCUGUGCCAGCAGGCACGGCCUGGCUGGGCCCAGCUUCUCUCUCUGCAGAGGGUGUAGGGGGGAGAACCCUGGCUGCUGCAGAAACAGGCUGAAGGGGGAGAAGCUGACAACGGAAGAGUUAACCAGGCCUGGAGAAAGAAGUGGGAGGAAGGAAGGCAAGGGCUUUCUAGGCCUCCAUCCAGGCCUGCUGGCUGCCCUUGAAGUAACCCAACUCAGGUUGGGGAGCCCUGACCAUAUACCCCCUGGAAAAUGGGGGACAGAAAGAGGGGAAGAGAGCGGGGCUAGAGUAUUGGGACUUUGGAGGAAGCCAGUGCUAUCAAUAUUUACAAGCAUAAAGCCCCAUCUUCUGUGCCACCUACCUCUCUGCCCCUCCCACAGAAAUGAAAGGCCCCUGAGAGCCAUGGAGGAGGUGCCCAGACCUCCUCACCAGCUACGCCCCUAGGGAGAGCCCCUGCCCUCCGACUGGCCCCAUUUCUGGGCCCCUCAGGAAUGUCUGUCUGGUUCUGCUCAGUCGGGAGGCGCCUUGGGCCAGAAACCUGGCUGCCGCCAUCCCUAGGAGUCCUUGAGCAUGCUGAUGCGGGCGUAGAUCUUCAGGGCGGGCCCCAGCUUGAUGUUCAUGGCACUCAUCAGGUGGUCCUCCUUGAGCAGCAGCAGGGCUUGCCCGUCGAUUUCCUGGGCACGGAAUUCCUCAGCUAUCUCCUGGCAGCCUGAGGGGGUACCACCAAAGACAGUAUCAAUCGAGCUGCCAGUGUUCCCCUCUGGCCGCCACUGCAUCCAGAAGCUUUAUCUCCUUUAGUUCUCAUAACCACACCUUGAGGAAGGCACUGCUGUUUUUACUGUGCAGCUUGAGAGAGGCUGGACGCCUUACCCACAGCAGCCACAAUCCGGGCCUCCUCCUACGUGCCCGUUCACACCCCUGCUCCGUGAACUGGGCAGACCCAUGUCUGCUAAGGUGCUGAGGAAGUGACAGUGUGUGAUUUCUGAGGCUAGAUCAUAAAGGGCACAGCAGUUCUCGCCUUGCUCUUUUGGGUGGUUUACCGCAGAGUAAGCCAGCUACUAGUAAGCUUCGCCGGCAGCCCUCUGGAGAGACAUUCGUGGAGAGCGGCCAAGGCCCUGGUGGUCCCCGUCCCCCUUGCUGUGAGUGAACCAUGCUUGAAGUGGGUCCUCGGGCUCCAGACUUCAGACACUGCAGCCCUGGAUGGUGUCUUCCCUGAGACCUCCUAUGAGCUCAAAUUCAUACACUGGGUUUGUGGAAGGGAGUGGAUAACCUCUCUCUUUGGUUUUCAAGUCUUCAGACUAGGCGGAACUGGACCCCAGGAGCCUCACACCAGGCCUGUCCAGCCAAGCCACUCAAGAUUCCUGACCUACAGGGCCCUUGAGACGACAAGUGAUUACUGCUUCAAGCCACAGAGUUCUGGAGUAAUUUAUAUCAUGGCAAUAGGUAACUAAUGCAGACUCUGGUACCUGGAAAAGGAGUGCUGCCAUAAAACAGCUCUAUCGAUGUGGGUGCGGCCUCGGAACUGGCCUCAAGGAGGAGCUUGGAAGGACUUUGUGUAAAGUGUGAGUGUCUAAGGUGCUUUGAGAGAGAGACUCGUGGCCUUUGGCGAAGCUGCUGGGGAGGCCUAAAGGAAAGUGAGGAAAUUCUUAGUAGAGAUUGGAAGAAAUGGUCUCUAUUAUGAAACAGCAGAACAUUUUGUAAAAAUGUGGUUGGUGGCAGAAAUGUAAGUUGAAUGUAGCUCAUGAAGUGGGUGGUCUAGCUAAGGAGAUUUUCAGGCAGAAUGUGGAAGGUGUUCCUUGGCUUCUUGCUGCUGCUCACAGUAAAGUAAGAGAGGACAGUGAGGAGGUAAAAACAAACAAAACUGUUCAACAUAAAGGAACUGGGACUUGCCGGUUUUAAAAACGCCCAGCCUCUCCAGAUGGCACACGAUGCUAAAAUUAAGAAAUGGUUUCUAGGCAAAGAUCAAAUUCAGGGCACCAUUAAAAAAAAAAAAAAAAAAAACAUGGUCUACAGGUCUACAGAUUCAACUUAGGAUGUGACUGAAAUCUUUUUGUCAAGACCUCAGAAAGAUCUAAGGUGAUGCCUCAAAGGGCUAUUCAAUCCAAAGGCUCUCCAAGGAUUAUCUAGGCUUUCCUCACAGAUCUACUCCUGAACAGCAGGGUUUCUAAGAAUGUGAAGGGCACCCUCCAUGCUGUCCCUCAACUUCAGAAGAAGCCCAGUGCAGACAAUGGCUUAUCUUGAAGAUAAUUCUGGGUGUGGUUUUUGUCUAAUGGAAUGGAGCCCAACAAGAUUCCCAGAAAACUCACAAUUAUUUUAAGAAAUACUGAAUUACUGAUUUUAGAGUCAAAGGUAGGCCAGAUGCGGAGGCUAAUGCCUAUAAUCCCAGCACUUUGAGAGGCUGAGGUAGGUGGAACACCUGAGGUCAGGAGUUUGAGACCAGCCUGGCCAACAUGAUGAAACCACAUCGCUACUAAAAAUAUAAAAUUAGCCAGGCGUGGUGGCACAUGCAUGUAAUGCCAGCUACUCGGGAGGCUGAGGCAGGAGAAUCCCUUGAACCCGGGAGGCAGAGGUUGCAGUGAGCUGAGAUCGGACCAUUGCACUCUGGCCUAAGAGACAGAGCAAGACUCCAUCUCAAAAAAAAGUCAAAGGCAAUAUAAAAAGCAGCAGGAAGUAGGCUGAGAAAACAACCAUACCGAAAAUACAGAAAAGGAAGGAGGACUCGGAGGGCAGAGCCAAGAGAAGUCACUCCCAGGCUUUGAGUCCUGAGGAAAACUGCCACCAUCCUUAGCAGAUUUCAGAACUGGAAGGGAUCAAUGACUCUUGUAUGCUCCGUUCCUUCCCUUUUUCGAUGGGAAUGUUUACAAUGGUUAUCCUAUGGCUGUCCCACUGUGCACUGGGUUCGUGGAAGGGAGCAGAUAGCCUCUCUCUCUAGUUCUCAGGUCUUCAGACUGAAAGGACCCAUACUGGAAGAACUGGACCCCAGGAGCCUCAUCCAUGCCUGGACCUGGGUUCAAUGAUGACAGCAUGAACUCCAAAUUGAUGCUGUCAUGGGACCAGACUGUUGGGAAUUUGGUCAGGGCGAGCAAUUCUACAUGAGGAAGGAACAUAAAUUUCUGGGAGCCAUGGUGAACUACGUGGCCUGUCUCUGAAUGGCCCCUAAUAGUCCUUCCCAGCAAGGAUUAUUCAUACCCUUGUGAGUCUCCUCACACAAUGAGUAAGACUGACCUGUGUGACCAAUACGAUACUGUGAAAAUUAUAAUUAAAAAAAUAUAUAUAUUGUGAAAAUGGCGGUACGUGGCUUCGGAGGCUAGAUCGUAAAAGCCACAGUAGCUUCUACCUUGCUCUCUGGGAUUCCUACCUGUGGGGACAACCCACUGCCAUGCAUAUCAUGAAAACACUCAAGCAGCCCUCUGGAGAGGCCCAGGUGGAAGGAAUCGAGGCCUCUUGCCAACAGCCAGCCCACAGGGCAAAUCAUGUGAGGCCAACAUAGUGAAACCCCAUCUUCAGCUCUUCAGUAUUCACAUGACCUCAGCCUUGGCUGAUAUCUUAAUUGCAACCUUAUAAGAGACCUGCGGCAGAAUUGCCUAGGGAAGCCACUCCUGAAUUCCUUACCCACAGCAACUGUAUAAUAACAAAUUUGGGGGAUGAAGAGCUAACACAUUGGGUUAAGUGACAGAGCCAGAAUUUGAACCCAGUUCAGUGUGCCUCAGAAGUCUGUGCUCUUAACCACAUUGCAGUCGCUGAGAAAGAGGCUUGUGGUUGCCAUCAAUACCUGACCUGGUCAGUGUAAUGAG